This 24-nucleotide non-coding RNA is filed under the name Arabidopsis thaliana (thale cress). The record is from RNAcentral. Lineage: Eukaryota; Viridiplantae; Streptophyta; Magnoliopsida; Brassicales; Brassicaceae.
CGCUAAGAAACAACACGACUAGGC